GUGUGGUGACGUACCUUCCUGUCCCGCCACCUAAAUCGAGUGCUGCAAAGACUAGGUCUAUGCGUUCUCUCAUAGCAGGUGGGGGAGAAUCACUUCCAUCCGGUGUUCGUUCCCGUUUCUUUUGCUUGGGAGUUUGCUCCUCCUCCUGUUCGUCGGGAGGAGGGGUUUCAACUUUGGGGUUUGAACCUUUUUUAGUCUUUCCCCUAGCUGCGAUUAACU
This 219-nucleotide small RNA is filed under the name Arabidopsis thaliana (thale cress). Its description in RNAcentral is "ATSL031920". Lineage: Eukaryota; Viridiplantae; Streptophyta; Magnoliopsida; Brassicales; Brassicaceae. The record is from RNAcentral.